Molecule: small nuclear RNA, 107 nt
Organism: Pteronotus mesoamericanus
Lineage: Eukaryota; Metazoa; Chordata; Mammalia; Chiroptera; Mormoopidae
Source: RefSeq, a predicted model, not a curated record
GUGCUCGCUUUGGCAGCACAUAUACUCAAAUUGGGAGGACACAGAGAAGAUUAGCAUGGCUCCCGCACAAGGAUGACACACAAAUCUGUAAAGCAUUCUGUAUUUUA